AUUAGAUAAAAAACCCAAUCCCCUUUCGGGGGCUUUCUGGUGAUUCAUAAUAACUAAACGAAUCGCAUGGCCUUGCGCCGGCGAUGGUUCAUUCAAAUUUCUGCCCUAUCAACUUUCGAUUGUAGGAUAGAGGCCUACAAUGGUUUCAACGGGUAACGGAGAUUAGGGUUCGGUUCCGGAGAGGGAGCCUGAGAAACGGCUACCACAUCCAAGGAAGGCAGCAGGCGCGCAAAUUACCCAAUCCCGACACGGGGAGGUAGUGACAAUAAAUACUGAUACAGGGCUCUUUUGGGUCUUGUAAUUGGAAUGAGUACAAUUUAAAUCCCUUAACGAGGAACAAUUGGAGGGCAAGUCUGGUGCCAGCAGCCGCGGUAAUUCCAGCUCCAAUAGCGUAUAUUAAAGUUGUUGCAGUUAAAAAGCUCGUAGUUGAACCUUGGGUCUGGCUGGCCGGUCCGCCUCACCGCGUGCACUGGUCCGGCCGGACCUUUCCUCUUGGGGAUCCGCAUGCCCUUUGCUGGG
This 519-nucleotide ribosomal RNA is filed under the name uncultured fungus. RNAcentral's name for it is "SSU rRNA". It matches the Rfam family "Eukaryotic small subunit ribosomal RNA", at positions 209 to 726 of the family's 1831-position model. The record is from RNAcentral. Lineage: Eukaryota; Fungi.